GCCUGAGUGCCUGCUGAUUGAUGUCUUACCAGACAAAGUUAGAUCUAGCUAUUUUCGUCUAAUACUGUCUGGUAAUGCCGUCUAUCGCAUUGGCUAAAUCUUCGCCU
This is a microRNA precursor of Pelodiscus sinensis (Chinese soft-shelled turtle), 107 nucleotides long. Lineage: Eukaryota; Metazoa; Chordata; Testudines; Trionychidae. The record is from Ensembl.